UUCAGUAAUGAGACACUGAAAUAACACAAGUUACAUGGAUGUAAUUCCAAUUCUACAAAUCAAAGUGUGUAGCUCACCAUCACUCUUUAUCACAAAGUAAAUGACAGUUACUAUUCCUUUAAAGACUUAAUAUGGUGAGAAUUCUAGUUUAUUAUAUUACAAUGUUAUUAUACAUUGAUUUACAGCAUCAGGACUACUAAGGGGAUUAUUGAUGUCUCAUACACCAAACUGGGUGCAAUAGUCCUGCUGGAUCUCAGCUUCACUAUCUAACAGACCCCUGAGAUCUCUUUGCAAUGGUUUGUGAAAGUGUUACAGAGAGGUACAGUGAAACAUCAAAACCUUUUUUGUAGUGGAAUUCUUUUUAUUCCAUAAAAUGUGGAUGAUUUAUGAUAUCUUUGUUCAGUGCUAAAACUGAACCCCAUUUCUGUAUUUAUAGUUCAAUCCUUCAAGUUUAACCAUUGACAGACCUUAUCAUUUCCAGAGUCUGAGUUUCACACGUCUUCAAGUCAUCAGCUAACAGAGGCAGUGCAGGAACACAUCUGCGUCCUCACAGGGAGGUGAGUGUCUCAAGUUUCCAUCCAAAUUUCAAACAGCAAUUGAUUAAAACGUUCAUCACAAGAAUGCUCAUUGACACUCCUUUUUUAUACUGUGAUACUUUUUGUUUAGUCAAAUGGAAGACAAAUAGUGUAAUUGUUUAAGACAGCAUUAAAAACAAAACUGCAAAGUAUUUCAAGAAACCUCACAGUAGAGCUACUUAAGUGAUAAGUAACAUUCAAGGGUUUUAUUAAAAGCUGUUAUAUUUUUCAGUUUUCACAAAUCACUGGGGAAUAGCCAUAUUCAGUUUUUUUCUUAUUGUCAACAAAUCCCUCAAAAAGACUAUAACCAACAAUGAAUUGAUCCUACUAACAAGUAUUGUCUGUGUAGCUAAACCUGAUGUAGAUUAUUCCUCUGUGCCAUCUGGUAGAGCUCCACUGUUGUCCAAAACUAUUGAAAACACAUAAAUUAACCACACUGUUAACACUGGGUGACCAUGAACAAGGGCACUGUAGUUUAUUUUGAAUCAAUCCCAUGUACAUUGUACUACUGCCGUAAACACUUGCAUGUAUUAAUCUGUAGUUGAAAAUAGUCCCCACACUAUUUACUUGUGUUUGAAUAGCCUUUGCUAAAAAAUACAUUUCCCAGCAGUCGCAUUCUUUAAAGACAAUACUAUAUAUUUGUUACUUGGUUUUUAAAGUCUUCAGUAGUUAAAAUGACUUGGAGCUGAGUGCCACAGACAGGUUAAGAAAGUUGGAAAAUAUUUAAAGGCGAACUAACACUUUUUUUGGUUUUGGUCUUUUCAUGGGAUUUGUCGGAAGUCCUAGUCUGCAAGAUUUACAGGUAUUACAACCAACGGUACACUAUGCCACAUAAAAGUAUGGAUAGAGUUUUUCUGUAAAGGUGUAGCCGAUGAAUGAGUAGAUGUGAGACUUGCCCUCUGUAUCAUAAAAGGAGACCUGGCCUCCUAAUCCACAAACACCCCAACCUUCUUCAGCUUCCGUGGGUAGAGACAGACAGAGGGAGCAGUGUUGGCUUUAUAACCAUCUCCCAGCUCUAUCGUCCAGUAUCCAUGUUCAUUUAAUACUGGAAACCCUUUCUUCCUGUUAGCAGACUUUCGACUCCCAUGAGGCCCCUCUGGUCGGGGAAAUUUCUUUGUUUAACUUGUCUUCAAAGUCAGAAAGUUCUCGUCUCACAGUCUCUUCAAGUUCAGAGUUCUCUUCAACCCUGGUGCUCCGCAAAGAUAUCCUGACGUUCUGCUUGUACUGGCUACUCUGGAUGCUGAACUCUUGCUGAUCAUUCAUGUGUGGAAGGCUGGAGAGAGAUGACGAUCUCAGGAGGAUAUGGAUAUGAUCGUUGGUUUGUGAGAGCUGCUCCAGCUCUGUGCAUUUUUGCUGUAGUGCACAAACGUCUUGCUCAAGAGCUUUAAUAAAGUCUUGGCUCUCCUCUCGAUUGCCCUCUGCUUCUUCUUAAUCACCCAAAUGAGCUCUGAUUGGCUCCUUUCAAUCAAGGCAACAAGAGCGGUGAACACCUGCACACUGUCCGAUAUGUUCUAUAGGUGUCCCUUUUGCUGAGCCCCACCAGGUAGUUGGCCUCCAAGACCUUCUGGAUCAUCUUCUCCUGGAUCAUCUGUCAUACUCGGAGCUCCGUCUGUCCGAGCAGAGUCUUUAUCUCGUCACACUUUACCUCCAGUGGUACAGUCUUGUGAGUCUCAUGGUCUUCGCUGAUGCACAGGUGGCAAACACACUCUUUAUCUGUCCUGCAGAACACGUCCAGAAGAACAUUGUGCUUCUUGUAUAUCCUGUUGUCUAGUUUGACCUCGGGAUCGAGCAGAGUGUGUCUCUUCAGUCCUGCGACUCUGGUUAGGCUCUGGGUGAAUUUCACAAAAAUAUGUCAGACACUCAAGGCAAAAAUUUGCAAGCCAUGCUUGGCAGCAGAUUGAUCAAUGCUUCUUUCUCGCAUCCCUUUAAACUGGCAGUGGUUACUGUUGUCCCAGUAUCCCGUGAUACAAGCCUUGCAGAAGUUGUGGCCACAGGCAAUGGCCAUGGGCUCAGUGAAGACCUCCAGGCAGAUUGAGCACUGAAACUGUUGUUCACACAACAGACUGCUGCAGAAAGCUAUGCCUGCAACAUUACGUAAACCACAACAUUACUUCCUGGAAAAUACAUCAGCUUUUAUUUUUCAUCUCUCAGACCAAUAUGUGAACUUGUGUUUUAUUUCCCCUAAUACCCUAACACAUUGAAUAAGCCAGAUUAAUUUAGAGCAACUCUACUUUGUCUACUCCAACUCCAGACUCUGAGUUAAAGGUGCACACACAGUUAUCUAUCGUCAUACUGCAGGCCCACAUACAGUAUUUACCAGUUCACACAUGUCUUACAUCUACUCACAGGAGGGUGUGAAUACAGCCCAUACACGUGUUCUGCAAUUACAAAAUGACGCAGCAAUUAUCCCUGUUCAGACAUCAUUGUGUGUCUUUAGUUCAUCAUCUUAACUCUGAACAUCUUGCUCUUCCCUUUAUGACAGUCCUGCCACCCCUUACGCUGCUAUGCUGUAGAUCCAGUUUUUGACAGAUGUGUUUUAACCUUUUGAAUGACUGGCUCAUAACAAAUAUAAUGCGGUCACAUGGCACAGAUGGUAAGCCAAUGGCACGGCCUCAAUCAGACCAGAAUUUGUGUGUUUGUGUCAGCAUCCCCUUCAUGCUCCUGAAGCGGCUGACUCGAGUGUAGAGCGAGGGAGAGGAGGGGUCAGCGCAGCCGUAACCCCCGGCGACGACUCCAGUGAGGACCCAUCGACCCAUCUCCCCCUGACACACCAGCCCGCCUCCAGAGUUGCCCUGACAACUGUCGCCAUGGAGGAGGCUGGUGUCUGGAGGACUGCCGGCGCACAGGGUGCCAUGGCUGGAGAAGCUGUCGCCAUAGCGCUUCUUACAUUGCCAUGACGACAUCAGAGGGACCCAGGAUGCAAGAACUGAGUCUAGGAGAGGGGAUGGAUGAGAUGAUUAAAGGAGUUGCAUGUCAGAAAUGCUGAAACAAUUAGUUGAUUAACUGACAAGUCAAUCGACAUUAACAAUCAACAAUUUAUCUAAAGGGAUCUAAAACAUAUUUUUAGAUACCUUCUGAAUGUUGUUUGACGUUUAAAAAGACACAUAUAGUACACUAGAGAGAAAAACACAUACCUGGUCCUGUCCAACCAGCGGUAACCAUGACAACACAAGAAGAUGGCAUAUUUCCCCCUGAUGCUGUGUCCGCAGCAGGAAGGCAUGCUGCAUUGGUGUUGGGGUCAAAGGUCAGACAGUGACCCUUGGUGCUGGGUAGCUUCAGCAAAGCCAGAUCGUGACCUCCA
This is a long non-coding RNA of Siniperca chuatsi (mandarin fish), 3876 nucleotides long. RefSeq lists it as uncharacterized. The transcript has 3 exons. NCBI's taxonomy places the organism in Eukaryota, Metazoa, Chordata, Actinopteri, Centrarchiformes, Sinipercidae. The record is from RefSeq and is a predicted model, not a curated record.